GCUUGAUUAGUAUAAAAAGUAUUAUAGACUUCCAAUCUUUAGGUCCCAUAUUAGGAUCAAGCA
This 63-nucleotide transfer RNA is filed under the name Chelonibia testudinaria. RNAcentral describes it as "tRNA-Gly". The record is from RNAcentral. Lineage: Eukaryota; Metazoa; Arthropoda; Thecostraca; Balanomorpha; Chelonibiidae.